UAAAGGCCUACCAAGGCGACGAUCCGUAACUGGUCUGAGAGGAUGAUCAGUCACACUGGAACUGAGACACGGUCCAGACUCCUACGGGAGGCAGCAGUGGGGAAUAUUGGACAAUGGGCGAAAGCCUGAUCCAGCCAUGCCGCGUGUGUGAAGAAGGUCUUCGGAUUGUAAAGCACUUUAAGUUGGGAGGAAGGGCAGUAAGUUAAUACCUUGCUGUUUUGACGUUACCAACAGAAUAAGCACCGGCUAACUUCGUGCCAGCAGCCGCGGUAAUACGAAGGGUGCAAGCGUUAAUCGGAAUUACUGGGCGUAAAGCGCGCGUAGGUGGUUCAGCAAGUUGGAUGUGAAAUCCCCGGGCUCAACCUGGGAACUGCAUCCAAAACUACUGAGCUAGAGUACGGUAGAGGGUGGUGGAAUUU
RNAcentral lists this ribosomal RNA (419 nucleotides) under Pseudomonas aeruginosa. Its description in RNAcentral is "bacterial SSU rRNA". It matches the Rfam family "Bacterial small subunit ribosomal RNA", at positions 258 to 669 of the family's 1533-position model. The record is from RNAcentral. Lineage: Bacteria; Pseudomonadati; Pseudomonadota; Gammaproteobacteria; Pseudomonadales; Pseudomonadaceae.